CAGCCAUUCAAAUAAUUAUUGGUCAUUAUCUAAAAAUAAACACUCAACGGUGAGGGUUAAAAGUAUUUUUAGCCCUGAUUCUAUUAGUUAUCAUGAUUCACCAAUUGUUACCGCAUGACAGAACAGUACAGUGGAGGGGCGGGCUCAGCCAACCGGCUGAAAAGCCGUUGUCAAACUUCUGCUUUCUUUCAUUCCUAGGAAGUGAAGCACAUGACCCGAGCCAGCUGAUGUCCAAUACUCGUGCAAAGUUCUGUGCGCUCCGAGUAGUUUAGCGACUUGAGGGGCGGUUGGACUUUUGAUGCUGGAGAUCGGCUACAGUGACUAACCACUUUUGAUACAGCAGGUCUUGGCUUGGCAAUAGCGAAAUGGCCACAGAGAAACAUCGUAAAGGCUAUCGAGUUGGAAUACAGCAACAAGGCUGACAGCGCUUUCUGAUUUUGACGUUAUUUUGAAAUGGAACCGCGGACGCAGGACCCAGCGGGAGAGGCUGUGACGAGGGUCAACAGAGAGACCGGGGAGCUGAGUGCGUCCGGGGAGUUGGCUCUUCCAGUCCAGACGGCAGAUAAGCUGGAGGGAGUCGAGGACAACCGGGCCCCACGGGCCCCGGGGCCGCUACUGAAGGCUCUGACCCAACUGUUACACGAGCUGAGGACUGCUGCUGGCCCCGGCCCCGACCACAGCCAACGGGAGCGUCUCCUGGAGGCCCUGGCUCUCUACAGACAGCUCGGUGGGGCUGGCGUCCGGGCCGAGGGACUGGACCUCAGCGGGCUCCGUGCGCUCGCGUCUGAAGCCGUGGUGCUGGACAUCAACAGCAGACUGACUGAGAAACCCGCAGAGGAGGCUCGUCACGAGGUGGUGGAAUUCUUCCAGAAGGUCGCUCCUGAGGCAGACACCCCAGCCAGAGCCAACCCAGGGUGGCUCCUCCUGGGCUCCCUGCAGUCUCUGCUGGCCGCGGAGAGCUCGGUGAGCUCAGCGCUAAAUGUCUCCUCACAGAUCCUCGGCACUUGGCAGGCCCGUGCUGUAGUCAUGCUCGGUCAGCAGUCAGCCCAGCGUGGGGGCCGCGGGCUAGACGUUUCCCUGUCGCAUGCUGUCCCCUCACUACUGUUUCAUCAUCGCUUUCUAAUUUUGUUUUAGAGACAUGACAGCUAAAGCGUCUCUGAGGGUCACGUGAUCAUCACAGCUCAUGUUCUCUGCUCCCAAAUGUUCGUUAACGUUUAAAAUCCAUUGUCAGUAAUAUGUUACAAUGUGUUCAUAGCAUUCACCAGGACAAUUAGAAUUUCGUGCCAGUGGAUUGCCAACUAAUCCCCAUGUAAAGAUAAACUUAGUUAGUAUUACAACAUGCCUAUCUCUUGUCUCUAAAAUUGACAAAAUACACUCAAUAUUACCCCUUUGGACAAGAAAAAUCUAUCUGCGUGUCUUAACUUGAGGUGUUGUAAGGUGUAUGCUGAACACACUUCAAUGAAAUACAAUCCCUCAAAGUCCAAACUCUUACAGUGUCAGCUUCUACACAGAAUACUUGCUGAGUCGGCCCUGGGUCGAGUCAGCCAGCAGUCCAUUAGUGAGCGUAUCGUGUGUUGUAUUGUAUUACCCUUUAGGAUGUCUUGUCGAGGAUCAAGCCGGACUUCCCAGCUGCGCUGGUGAAGUGUCUCUAUCUGCUGGUGUGCCUCCCAGCCAGGAACAACAGCACUCCCAAGGAAGAGACCUUCCAGGACCUUCUAACACAGGUGAACCAUAGUAAAUAAUCCAACCAAUCACCCAGGGCAGGUCUGUCACCUGAAUACAUUCUAUUUACUAUUGUACUAUUUAGUAGUGACUUGGAGACAGUUCAUAAAGAUACAGUGUAUAUGUCUAUAAAGGGCCCCUAUUUUACACCAGCUGUGAUUGUGAUUAGCCAUUACAAGCCGUUUCAAAAUCGACCCAGCUCAAUAAAAACAAUGGAAAAGUUGAACGCGACACAUUAAACCAAGAGCUCCCUCUGCACGUCUUCCUCCCCAAGAAUGCAGAGGAACGUCUCCACCUCCUUGUUCGCCCAAUCAAGCGUUUUACGCGACAUGUUCAUUGUAAAGAAUAAUACCUCGAGGCUACUGUUUGUAGCCUCUGAGGAGUACUGAAGACGAGGGCAAAACGAGUACGGCUCAGUCCGGGUCACGCCCACUUUUGGCGGUGGAAACGCAAUCCGUACCGCACCUUUGCGAACCGUACCGCACCCUGCAGUGGAAACGCACCAAUAGUCUGCGGACACCGGGGAUCAAACCCAGUUCCUUUUGGUGCUCCCCCCUCACCACUCUAACAUCCCUCCCCUCAGGAUAGUGUAGUCGUUUAAGAUGUGGUUCAGCUCGCUAAGUCCUAAUGUUCUCCUUCUGGUCUUCGACCUCCUUCCCUGCCUCCUCGCUAUGCGUUCCCCAGGUGCUCCUGCAGCUCUGCAGGGCGCCCGCGUGCGUGGAGACGAUGGUGGACACCCAGGAGCUGCAGUGUCUGAUGAUCGGCCUGACGUCUCUCUGGGACCAGACCAGCGGGCCCUGGAGGCUCCAGGCCUCCCGCGUGCUCAGGGCUGUGUCGGCCGCACGGCCACGCAACGUCGUCCCGGCCCUGCAAGGUGAGGGGUUGUUCCCGUGUGACCCCACUCUGCCCACAGUCCUGGAGCGAACAAAUCGGUGUUUAAACAGUCCCACUAGCAGAGGACACAAGUGGUUUAUUUAUAGUAUCAGGAACAGACUCUUUGUGAGAGUAGACACUUAAUAGUCGACUGCUGUUAAGUGUUGUACUGAGAGUCUGUUCAAAGGUUUAAUGUAAGCUUCAUGGGGCCACUGAACAUGUAUUUGUAGUCCUCUACAAAUCAAUUUUUAUUUUAUUUUAUUUCGCAGCACUUUUCACAGCACAAGUCGAUUUUUAUAGAGAUGCCGAUUGUUUACAUCUCUAUGUCAAGCUCUCUACCAAAGCCUGUUAGGUAUAAAUACCAAGCAGACUCAAUGGGGGGAAAUGGGGAAACUCCCUUGACAAGAGGACAUUGAGUGAGACACAGGGUUAGCACAGCGAUGUGAACAACUGGACUCUCUAUAAAUAUCGACUUGUGCUUUGAAACGAGCUGUUGAAGCUCCUCUUCUUCUAUUCGGCUACAGGCCUAUGCUGGAGAGCCUUAGCCUGUAUUCAGAAAACUAAUGCUAAUGCUAAUUACUUAAUCAUACAUUUGCACCCUCGACUGUUUUUUUCAUAACUUGGUUCCACCUUAAUGGUUGGAACGUGUUCCGUAGCAUUUUCAGGUUCAGUUUCGAAUGGCCCUUGUUGAUUCUGAGGAACCGUCCAAUUCAAUGUCCCAGUACAGGUGUUUAUUUCUAAGUCGUUUGGGGAAUAACGAACUAUAAAGGUUUUAACUAAACCAAUGACUAGAAAUAAAUGUGUUUUUAU
This 3405-nucleotide long non-coding RNA is filed under the name Gadus morhua (Atlantic cod). RNAcentral describes it as "lncRNA (ENSGMOG00000023355.1)". Lineage: Eukaryota; Metazoa; Chordata; Actinopteri; Gadiformes; Gadidae. The record is from RNAcentral.